GUUGAUCAUGGCUCAGGAUGAACGCUAGCGACAGGCUUAACACAUGCAAGUCGAGGGGCAUCACGGGAGUAGCAAUACAACUGGUGGCGACCGGCGCACGGGUGAGUAACGCGUAUGCAACCUACCUAUCAGAGGGGAAUAACCCCGGCGAAAGUCGGACUAAUACCGCAUAAAACAGGGGCACCGCAUGGUGAUAUUUGUUAAAGAAAUUCGCUGAUAGAUGGGCAUGCGUUCCAUUAGGUAGUUGGUGAGGUAACGGCUCACCAAGCCGACGAUGGAUAGGGGAACUGAGAGGUUGGUCCCCCACACUGGUACUGAGACACGGACCAGACUCCUACGGGAGGCAGCAGUGAGGAAUAUUGGUCAAUGGGCGGGAGCCUGAACCAGCCAAGUCGCGUGAAGGGAAAAGAAGGAUCUAUGGUUCGUAAACUUCUUUUGCGAGGGGAAUAAAGUGCAGGACGUGUCCUGUUUUGUAUGUACCCUGAGAAUAAGGAUCGGCUAACUCCGUGCCAGCAGCAGC
This 520-nucleotide ribosomal RNA is filed under the name uncultured bacterium. RNAcentral's name for it is "bacterial SSU rRNA". It matches the Rfam family "Bacterial small subunit ribosomal RNA", at positions 11 to 518 of the family's 1533-position model. The record is from RNAcentral.